CAGCUUUGUUUUUAUUUUUUUAAAUUUUUUAUUUAGGAUAGUCACACAGAGAGAGAGAGAGAGGCAGACACACAGGCAGAAGGAGAAGCAGGCUCCAUGCACCGGGAGCCCGGCAAGGGAUUCGAUCCCGGGUCUCCAGGAUCGCGCCCUGGGCCAAAGGCAGGCGCCAAACCGCUGCGCCACCCAGGGAUCCCUGAGCUUUGUUUUUAAAAUGCAUAUGAUGACUACAAGAAAACAUCAAAAAAGGAGUGUCUCAGAAAACACUAGUGUUAAAAUCAACUGAAACCUGAUGGUUGGGGAAGUCGUUUGCUUGGAGCAGAGAAGCACAUCUGCCAGCUUCUUGACCAGGCUUCUCAAACCCGCAUCGGAGGAACCUAAUUCCUGAGCCACUGAGAAGUUCCGUGGUGCAACUUUGCUUGCUUUUUCGCAUCACUCAUGGCUAGCUUAGCAUUCAGCUUUCUUAGGUCUACAAAUGAGUUGUCGCUCGUAACUGCUUUCAGCUUCUAAACCUUUCCUGCUGUUGUUUUGGCUCCUAUCAUCCUUGUCCUUCUGGGUUUAUGCCUUUGUAUAUAACAGUCUUUACUGUUUUAGUGGGAUUUUGUAGUUUUUUCUUCCAAAAUUUAAAAAUUCUAGUUAGUUAACAUAUAGUGUAUUAGUUUCAGGAGUAAGAUUUAGUGAUUCAUCACUUAGACCUAAAACCCAGUGCUCAUCGUAACAAGUGCUCUCCUUAAUACCCAUCACUCAUUUAGCUCACUUCCCACCUAAGUCCCUCCACCAACCUGGUUUGUUCUUUAAGAGUCUCUUAUGGUUUGCUUUCCUCUCUCUUUUUCUUCUUAGUGGGAUU
RNAcentral lists this long non-coding RNA (844 nucleotides) under Canis lupus familiaris (dog). RNAcentral's name for it is "lncRNA (ENSCAFG00845025430.1)". The record is from RNAcentral. Lineage: Eukaryota; Metazoa; Chordata; Mammalia; Carnivora; Canidae.